RNAcentral lists this ribosomal RNA (760 nucleotides) under uncultured Enterobacteriaceae bacterium. RNAcentral describes it as "bacterial SSU rRNA". It matches the Rfam family "Bacterial small subunit ribosomal RNA", at positions 28 to 776 of the family's 1533-position model. Lineage: Bacteria; Pseudomonadati; Pseudomonadota; Gammaproteobacteria; Enterobacterales; Enterobacteriaceae. The record is from RNAcentral.
AUUGAACGCUGGCGGCAGGCCUAAACACAUGCAAGUCGAGCGGCAGCGGAAAGUAGCUUGCUACUUUGCCGGCGAGCGGCGGACGGGUGAGUAAUGUCUGGGAAACUGCCUGAUGGAGGGGGAUAACUACUGGAAACGGUAGCUAAUACCGCAUGACCUCGAAAGAGCAAAGUGGGGGAUCUUCGGACCUCACGCCAUCGGAUGUGCCCAGAUGGGAUUAGCUAGUAGGUGAGGUAAUGGCUCACCUAGGCGACGAUCCCUAGCUGGUCUGAGAGGAUGACCAGCCACACUGGAACUGAGACACGGUCCAGACUCCUACGGGAGGCAGCAGUGGGGAAUAUUGCACAAUGGGCGCAAGCCUGAUGCAGCCAUGCCGCGUGUGUGAAGAAGGCCUUAGGGUUGUAAAGCACUUUCAGCGAGGAGGAAGGCAUCAUACUUAAUACGUGUGGUGAUUGACGUUACUCGCAGAAGAAGCACCGGCUAACUCCGUGCCAGCAGCCGCGGUAAUACGGAGGGUGCAAGCGUUAAUCGGAAUUACUGGGCGUAAAGCGCACGCAGGCGGUUUGUUAAGUCAGAUGUGAAAUCCCCGCGCUUAACGUGGGAACUGCAUUUGAAACUGGCAAGCUAGAGUCUUGUAGAGGGGGGUAGAAUUCCAGGUGUAGCGGUGAAAUGCGUAGAGAUCUGGAGGAAUACCGGUGGCGAAGGCGGCCCCCUGGACAAAGACUGACGCUCAGGUGCGAAAGCGUGGGGAGCAAACAGG